Molecule: long non-coding RNA, 1605 nt
Organism: Macaca mulatta (Rhesus monkey)
Lineage: Eukaryota; Metazoa; Chordata; Mammalia; Primates; Cercopithecidae
Source: Ensembl
UUAGGAUUAAAUAAGAUCAUGGAAAAUGCCCCAUUGGACACAUAACUAGGAGCUAAUUAAUAAGUGAGCAAAAUCAAAUAUUGUCUCUGUUUCAAUGCUGAGCUAUUGUAGAGUGGCCCAAGAAUCCUCUACAGACUCCCGGGGUGCCCGUACUCCAAAGAGCACCUCCUCUUCCCCUGCCUUCUGUUGAGCACAGCCACUCCCAGGCGGCUGUGACACCUUUCUGGAAGCAGCCAUCUUGCGGACAGAUCAUCCCUUUGAAUCUCCCCGGCAGCCUGAACUUUGUCCUUGAGGGGAGAUUUGAUUUGGGGAAAUCAUCAGACAUCCUUUAAGACAAGUCUGCUGAAUGGAUGCUCAGAAGCCAAGCCAGGGCCUCCUGUCCGGUUCAGUCUGGCCUCAUGCGCUGAAGGCAGUAUACAAAGGAUCUGGACUGGAUCAUCGCCACUGGUUUUGCUGCAGCAGGCCAGAGACAUGAGACAUGGGGCUGGGCCCCAGGACAGGGUGGUGAGGACAUCCCGGUUCCCACGAAAAGCAACCGCCUGGCAAGGCUGGAGCAGACAAAGAGGGAGUGAGGGGGUGUGGCUCACUCCCCAAGUUUUUUGGCUCAGCUUCAGUGCUGGGUCAUUCUUGGGGACUGCUAUACCCACUGGGCACUGCAGAACUUCUGGUGCUUGUGGCAAAGGGGAGUCAGGAGGAGCCCUGUCCCUGGACCAGACCUUCCUGUUUGGGGUACUGGGACCCAGUGGCCCUGUGCACCUUUCCUGAAGCUUCUGGGCCCCCAGUGAUCGAAUGCAGUGGGCUGGGGAGUCACAGACUGUGCUUCCUGCCUUCAUCCUCCGUUCCAGGUUCCUGUGCAUUCGUGGGCCCAUCCACCUGGCUGGGCUUGGCUAGGCUGUGACCUUCUCUGAGGACAGGGCUCUGCCUGCAUUUGGAGCUGCUGGGACCUCAGUGUCACCCCCCACUCUCGCCAGCUGGCCUCACAAAGGUGCCCAGGAGGAGACCUGAUUGCCGGCUCCUUUCCCCUCCCUGGCUGAGCAGAUUCUACAACAGCCUGUGGAAAUUAAAAUAAGAGCCUAAAACUGUCAAAAAAAUUUUUUUAACCAAGUCACAAAUGGGAAAGCUGAGGCGGCAGCAGGUUAAGGACACGUUGUGAUGUAGCGUUCUCUCCCGGUGCUUUCGUACUGUAAACAUCACAGUCCACGGUCCCUGUGAACAGGCAGCCACAGAGACUGGGUUUAGAGUUGCCGGGGGAAGGCUGCAUCCAAAGUGUGGCCAGCUCAGAACUAUUCCACCACAUGGGGGGUCAUUAGUUCUGCUCAGUUCUGUGGGGCCUCACUAGUGUUUCCAUUUAAAAAUAAGUCAAGGUAAAAGAGAAAGUUUUAAAAUCUAACAGUCAUGUAUCUAUUUCUGUAAUUGUAAAGAAAUACACUGUCCUGUGCCGGCUGGAGGCUCUGGAGCAGAGGACCUAGGAGACAAUGUUUUCUUUUUCCUUUUUUUUUUUCCUGAAUUUUCCAAACCAUCUAUAACAGUGUGUAUUGCUUUUAUAAUGGGAGGAGAUAAAAUAGACUUACAUUAAAAAUAAAGUGCACCUGAGCCUACAUGUCA